Molecule: ribosomal RNA, 468 nt
Filed under: uncultured bacterium
Lineage: Bacteria
Description: partial 16S ribosomal RNA
Rfam family: Bacterial small subunit ribosomal RNA
Source: RNAcentral
GACGAACGCUGGCGGCGUGCUUAAUACAUGCAAGUCGAACGGACAGGCCAUGAUCUUGCGGGGUUCUCGUGUGGCGCACGGGUGUGUAAAACACGAGUAUACUCUACCUGUAUUAGUGGUAAAACUACGAAACUCGGGCUAUUAUAGGGUAGGAUAUAUUGCACCACGGUGUGCGUUGGUAAGAUUCGGCGGUUGUGGAUGGUCUCGCAGCUUCUCAGCUUGUUUGUCGAGUAGUGGAUUACCAAGCCUACGACGGGUAGCCGGCCUGAGAGGGUGACCGGCCACAAUGGGACUGAGAGACGGCCCAGACUCCUACGGGAGGCAGCAGUGGGGAAUAUUGCACAAUGAGCGGAAGCCUGAUGCAGCAACGCCGCGUGCGGGAUGACGGCCUUCGGGUUGUAAACCGCUGUCGCCUGAGACGAAGCGUGAGUGACGGUAAUGAGUAAAGAAGCACCGGCUAACUACGUG